CUCAGACAAUUCACUUCUGUUAGUGAGAAGAGCUCAAAGCAGGAUUUAAUUUUCCAACUUAUGUUCAUUUUGUAAAACAUUUCAAGGGUAUGAACAUCACUGGCUUAAUAAGAGUGUGUUAGAGAGAGCAAAAACACCCUGCCUUGGAACGCAACUGGACACCGGAUGGGGAAAGACCCCAGAUGUAGGAACAAGACCAUUCAAAUCUGCAAAAAACAUUCCUCAGGAUGGAGCAUAAAAUCUUAAAAAAACAAUCCCCAGGAUGACUGCUGCUUGCAGUUCCACUGUGGCCCACAGGACCAGCAGGCCCCAUUUUAC
Carassius auratus (goldfish) is the source of this 318-nucleotide long non-coding RNA. RefSeq lists it as uncharacterized. Lineage: Eukaryota; Metazoa; Chordata; Actinopteri; Cypriniformes; Cyprinidae. The transcript is spliced from 3 exons. The record is from RefSeq and is a predicted model, not a curated record.